GGGGGCGUGCCGAAACGGUAGCCGGAAGAGACUUAAAAUCUCUCGGGGGCUUCCCCCGUGCGGGUUCGAAUCCCGCCGCCCCUA
This 84-nucleotide transfer RNA is filed under the name Roseomonas acroporae. It matches the Rfam family "tRNA". From Rfam's summary of the family: Transfer RNA (tRNA) molecules are approximately 80 nucleotides in length. Their secondary structure includes four short double-helical elements and three loops (D, anti-codon, and T loops). Lineage: Bacteria; Pseudomonadati; Pseudomonadota; Alphaproteobacteria; Acetobacterales; Roseomonadaceae. The record is from Rfam by way of RNAcentral.